CCUACGGGAGGCAGCAGUGGGGAAUAUUGCGCAAUGGGCGAAAGCCUGACGCAGCGACGCCGCGUGAGGGAUGAAGGUCUUCGGAUCGUAAACCUCUGUCAGCAGGGAAGAACGGUCACUGUGCUAAUCAGCAGUGAAUUGACGGUACCUGCAAAGGAAGCACCGGCUAACUCCGUGCCAGCAGCCGCGGUAAUACGGAGGGUGCGAGCGUUAAUCGGAAUUACUGGGCGUAAAGCGCUCGUAGGCGGUAUGUCAAGUCAAGGGUGAAAUCCCCGCGCUCAACGUGGGAACUGCCUUUGAAACUGGCAGACUGGAGUGUGUGAGAGGAUAGUGGAAUUCCAGGUGUAGGGGUGAAAUCCGUAGAUAUCGGGAGGAACAUCAGUGGCGAAGGCGACUAUCUGGCACAUAACUGACGCUGAGGAGCGAAAGCGUGGGUAGCAAACAGGAUUAGAUACCCCGGUAGUC
RNAcentral lists this ribosomal RNA (465 nucleotides) under uncultured bacterium. Its description in RNAcentral is "partial 16S ribosomal RNA". It matches the Rfam family "Bacterial small subunit ribosomal RNA", at positions 338 to 795 of the family's 1533-position model. The record is from RNAcentral.